AUCUUUAAUUGCCAUCAUUCAGUUGGGCACUUUAGAGAGACUGCCGGUGUUAAACCGGAGGAAGUGGGAUGACGUCAAGUCCUCAUGGCCUUAUGCUUAGGGCUACACACGUGCUACAAUGGGUGGUACAAAGAGAAGCCAACUCGCGAGAGUGCGCAAAUCUCAAAAAGCCAUCCUAAGUUCGGAUUGAAGUCUGCAACUCGACUUCAUGAAGCUGGAAUCGCUAGUAAUCGCGGAUCAGCAUGCCGCGGUGAAUACGUUCCCGGGCCUU
RNAcentral lists this ribosomal RNA (271 nucleotides) under uncultured Smithella sp. RNAcentral's name for it is "partial 16S ribosomal RNA". It matches the Rfam family "Bacterial small subunit ribosomal RNA", at positions 1106 to 1382 of the family's 1533-position model. The record is from RNAcentral. Lineage: Bacteria; Pseudomonadati; Thermodesulfobacteriota; Syntrophia; Syntrophales; Smithellaceae.